Molecule: ribosomal RNA, 351 nt
Filed under: Triticum aestivum (bread wheat)
Lineage: Eukaryota; Viridiplantae; Streptophyta; Magnoliopsida; Poales; Poaceae
Description: partial small subunit ribosomal RNA
Source: RNAcentral
AUGGGAGUUCGGAGGAAGCAAAAACAUGAGCUGGCCGAGAGUCCUGCUGAUGGACGGCCGCCAGAUCAUUGGACGAAGCCACCAUUGGGCUGGAACAAGCUUAAUGUAGAUGGUGCUUAUGCCAUGGAGGUGGGCAUGGGAGGCGCUGGCAUGAUCUUGCGUGAUGAGGAUGGAGUGAUCAUCUUCGCAUCAAGUCGCCAUCUACAUACUUGCAAUAGCCCGCUUGAAGCGGAACUCGCUGCCUGUAUGGAAGGAAUUUCCCUAGCCUAUGAUUGGAGCACAAAGCCUUUUGUUAUUGAAACUGACUCGCAAGUUACAGUAAACAUGAUCAUGCAGCUAGAGACGGAUUGA